UCUUUCCUACGGGGCGCAGCAGUGGGGAAUAUUGGACAAUGGGGGAAACCCUGAUCCAGCGACGCCGCGUGAGUGAAGAAGUAUUUCGGUACGUAAAGCUCUAUCAGCAGGAAAGAAAAUGACGGUACCUGACUAAGAAGCCCCGGCUAACUACGUGCCAGCAGCCGCGGUAAUACGUAGGGGGCAAGCGUUAUCCGGAUUUACUGGGUGUAAAGGGAGCGUGGACGGCAGCGCAAGACUGGAG
RNAcentral lists this ribosomal RNA (244 nucleotides) under uncultured bacterium. Its description in RNAcentral is "partial 16S ribosomal RNA". It matches the Rfam family "Bacterial small subunit ribosomal RNA", at positions 333 to 594 of the family's 1533-position model. The record is from RNAcentral.